AGGGUUUGAUCAUGGCUCAGAUUGAACGCUGGCGGCAUGCCUAACACAUGCAAGUCGAACGGAAACGAUGGGAGCUUGCUCCCAGGCGUCGAGUGGCGGACGGGUGAGUAAUACUUAGGAAUCUACCCAGUAGCGGGGGACAACUCGAGGAAACUCGAGCUAAUACCGCAUACGCCCUACGGGGGAAAGCAGGGGAUCUUCGGACCUUGCACUAUUGGAUGAGCCUAAGUCGGAUUAGCUUGUUGGUGAGGUAAAGGCUCACCAAGGCGACGAUCCGUAGCUGGUCUGAGAGGACGAUCAGCCACACUGGGACUGAGACACGGCCCAGACUCCUACGGGAGGCAGCAGUGGGGAAUAUUGGACAAUGGGCGCAAGCCUGAUCCAGCAAUGCCGCGUGUGUGAAGAAGGCCUGCGGGUUGUAAAGCACUUUCAGUAGAGAAGAAAAGCCUACGGUUAAUACCCGUGAGUCUUGACGUUACCUACAGAAGAAGCUCCGGCUAACUCCGUGCCAGCAGCCGCGGUAAUACGGAGGGAGCGAGCGUUAAUCGGAAUUACUGGGCGUAAAGCGCGCGUAGGCGGCUUUGUAAGUCGGAUGUGAAAGCCCUGGGCUCAACCUGGGAAUGGCAUUCGAUACUGCAGAGCUAGAGUAUGGUAGAGGGAAGUGGAAUUUCCGGUGUAGCGGUGAAAUGCGUAGAUAUCGGAAGGAACACCAGUGGCGAAGGCGACUUCCUGGGCCAAUACUGACGCUGAGGUGCGAAAGCGUGGGGAGCAAACAG
Molecule: ribosomal RNA, 776 nt
Filed under: uncultured bacterium
Lineage: Bacteria
Description: bacterial SSU rRNA
Rfam family: Bacterial small subunit ribosomal RNA
Source: RNAcentral